RNAcentral lists this unclassified non-coding RNA (200 nucleotides) under soil metagenome. RNAcentral describes it as "partial contains internal transcribed spacer 2 and large subunit ribosomal RNA". The record is from RNAcentral.
UGUUCGAGCGUCAUUAUGACCACUCAAGCCCCCGGCUUGGUGUUGGGGCCCGCGGUUCUGCGGCCCUUAAAACCAGUGGCGGUGCCAUUGGGCUCUAAGCGUAGUAAUACUCCUCGCUAUAGAGUCUCGGUAGGCGCUUGCCAGCAACCCCCCAUCUCACGGUUGACCUCGGAUCAGGUAGGGAUACCCGCUGAACUUAA